Oncorhynchus mykiss (rainbow trout) is the source of this 1359-nucleotide non-coding RNA. NCBI's taxonomy places the organism in Eukaryota, Metazoa, Chordata, Actinopteri, Salmoniformes, Salmonidae. The record is from RefSeq and is a predicted model, not a curated record.
CUAGCCUGCCAGAAGUUUGAGAGGGUGAAGACUGGCGCUGGAGUUGAAGCCCAUCAAAGUUCUUUCACCAUGGCACAUGAUCGGGGUGGACUUCAUCAGACCCUUCAUGAAAUCCAGGAACGGCAACAGCUGGUGUCUGACGGCGACCAAUCACUUUACCAAGUGGGUGGAGCUAUACCCCUUAAGGACGAGACUUGUGAGGCCACCUUCAAGGUGAUGGUAGAUAUCUUCAACACCCACGGUUCUCCUGAGAUCAUCUUGAGUGACCGAGGUCAUGAAUGCUGGAACAAGGUUUGGUGAAUGUACCAACCAGACCCUCAAGACUGCCAUGGGCAAGUCCCUUAAUUGGUACCAGGAAGGGAGGGAGAACAACCUGAAGUCGUCAAACCAGAUCAGAAUUCCUUUGAGGACCACCUUCAGGCACGGACUGAGAAGGAUGUGGAGGUUUUUCACCAGAUGAGACUGAACAUCGACAAGGCCCAGGAAAACUGAAGGAGAGCUACCAGAGCAGAAUCAAGAAGGGGACCAAGUGCUACGAGAUCCUGGCAAAUGACUCAGUUUGGAAGAAGGACAAAAGGAAGGCGAGACCUGGGAAACCUUGCUGCUCUUCCGCUCCCAGCUGGGGUCACCAUCUGUUAGUGAACAUAAAAAAUCUCAGAUAAUAACUAUUUGUAUUUGACACAAAAUAACCUGAAGCUAUUUUUAGUUUCCCUAACUCUGAUAGUUUACUCUUUGUCUUCCUCGGGUUACAUCGGUGGAAGCCAACAAUUUUCUACAGUUGGAGCAGUUGGAUGGUGGACCACAAAAAGCAUUGACGUCCCUCACUUCAGUGGAGCCCAAUAGACAAAGAAUGUUGAGCUUUGGUUGUUGACAUUUGAGAAAGCAAGAAAUGGUAGUUAUGCUGAACUUUUAAAAAUGUACCUCUUCAAUUUACCUCUCCAAAUGACUUUAGGACCAUCGACUGUCCAAGCCCAAGAGGUAUCCCUUGAGGACCUAGGGGUUCUGCCCAACACCCAGACAUGGAUCCACCUGAUGUCCUCCAUUACUAACCACCCUCCAACUUUUCAUAACAUCAUCUACAGCUCCUGUUGUUGUCAUGUUGUCAUCAUCUGCUAAUAAAGUUUUUUGCUCUAUUAUACUGGGAGAUACACAGAUUAACCAAAAACACUAGCACUGCAAACACUCAGAACAAAGAGAGCAGCAGUGCCUGAACUUUGCAGUCUCCCUCUUCAAGUCUCCCUCUUCAAUCUAUGAUUGCCAUGUGAGUGCACAAAAAAACUGUGAAAAUAAAUUAAUGACAAACUGUACCAAAAAUGAUCAAAGUUUAUGUAUUAAAAUCUUAAAUAUUGCCAGGUUGGU